GCCAUCUACAAAAAGGGACCAUACUAUACAGAGUGUGGAGCAAUGAUAGAUGGUUUGUUGGUAACAAAACGUUUGGUGUGGUAUCGCAUUUAAUAGUAGUGUGGGGGGUGGGAGAGCAGGGCCGUAGGAAGCUUCUUUCGUUUGGGGGCGCUGAAAGCGAGGGCCGAAGGCCCGAGGAAAUUUUUAAAUUUAGAGUCUCUGAAAUGCCAUUUCCUGGACUUUGGGGAAGAUUUGACAGAUUUCUGAUUGUCAAAAAACAGCGUUUUUAGUAUGUGGAAAUUUAGAGUUCAGUAGUACUAAAUGGGCGAAAGUGUAUUUAAUUAACGAUAUUUUGGAUAAGUUGCAGGAAAGUAUGGGUAAUAUCUUCAUUCUUUGAAGUCUGUCAUGGAUUAAAUGAUAAAGGUCUGCAUGAUUUUGAAAAAUGAAUGAUUAUUAGCAAAUUAUUGGGGGCUGCAGCCCCCCAGCCCUCCCCCCCCCCGCGGUUGCUACGGCCC
Paramuricea clavata is the source of this 494-nucleotide non-coding RNA. The record is from the annotation of a GenBank genome assembly. Lineage: Eukaryota; Metazoa; Cnidaria; Anthozoa; Malacalcyonacea; Plexauridae.